RNAcentral lists this ribosomal RNA (249 nucleotides) under uncultured bacterium. RNAcentral's name for it is "partial 16S ribosomal RNA". It matches the Rfam family "Bacterial small subunit ribosomal RNA", at positions 524 to 771 of the family's 1533-position model. The record is from RNAcentral.
UACGUAGGGGGCAAGCGUUGUCCGGAUUUAUUGGGCGUAAAGAGCGUGUAGGCGGCCAUACAGGUCAGCUGUGAAAACUCGAGGCUCAACCUCGAGACGUCGGUUGAAACCGUAUGGCUAGAGUCCGGAAGAGGAGAGUGGAAUUCCCGGUGUAGCGGUGAAAUGCGCAGAUAUCGGGAAGAACACCCGUGGCGAAGGCGGCUCUCUGGGACGGUACUGACGCUGAGACGCGCAAAGCGUGGGAGGCGA